CACCUCGGACGCAAAUCUGGGCGUGUCUCGUGACAGAAUUGAGUGCUGCAUUAUAUUUGCAUGCAGAAAUGGCUGAUCGCCGCACAGACAGUCAGAACGUAUGUACUAGAAGUCGAUCAAGAAGCGCACUGAUUGCGUCAAGAGCAGAGAAGUAGGAAUUCUAGAUUAACAGCAGACAGUGAGAGGAGAUCUCUCUAGACUACUACAUGCACAUAUCGGCUCUCCAUACAAGAGCGGUUAAAGAGCAACGCCAGGCGGCUUCGAGAUAAAUCCGUUUAGUUAGCUGCAUGGUUGAGAUUGCAAGGUGAUGGAAUCGGAGUUGAUUGUUUGGUUGUUGUUGUAUAAUCGGAUGUAUGCAAACUGUAGUUAUCAGACACUUGGCACCAAUUAUUGGCAUCUGUUCCCAGCGUGAGUUGCUGAGACGUUUAGCUCGGUCCGGUUGCAAUUUGAGUAGAGUGUCGAGUCCCACUCGGAUAACGUCACUCCUAGCUCGAGCAUCGUGCAGUGCAGUAUCCGGAUUGUGGCUAUUAGAUCCAAGUGGGAGAGAUGUGGUUUCGCUACUUGUGCUAUUGUAUGGAACCGGUGGAAGAGUAAAGGAGUUUGCUGUGUAGCCUUUGUUGUCUAGACGAUGUAUUUGUUGUAGCAGUACAAACAAUGACUUUUGUUGCUUUCUUUUGUAUUGGCACUGAACUUUGUUUUGAGAUGCGGUGACAAUGUACACACGAUGACCUGCGAUGACGCAAC
Corticium candelabrum is the source of this 744-nucleotide long non-coding RNA. RefSeq lists it as uncharacterized. The record is from RefSeq and is a predicted model, not a curated record. The transcript is spliced from 3 exons. Lineage: Eukaryota; Metazoa; Porifera; Homoscleromorpha; Homosclerophorida; Plakinidae.